RNAcentral lists this unclassified non-coding RNA (135 nucleotides) under Ralstonia syzygii R24. Its description in RNAcentral is "yybP-ykoY". Lineage: Bacteria; Pseudomonadati; Pseudomonadota; Betaproteobacteria; Burkholderiales; Burkholderiaceae. The record is from RNAcentral.
AACUUCCUCAAAGGGGAGUAGCUCGGAGGCUCUUCAGCCCCAGGCACGAUCGUCAUGACGAAGCUCACGCUUCCGGUCGUGCCGGCAUCCGCGGGUUCCAGCCUGCCGGUGUCGAGCAAGACCUUUGCAACCGGA